Coregonus clupeaformis (lake whitefish) is the source of this 575-nucleotide long non-coding RNA. RefSeq lists it as uncharacterized. The transcript is spliced from 4 exons. NCBI's taxonomy places the organism in Eukaryota, Metazoa, Chordata, Actinopteri, Salmoniformes, Salmonidae. The record is from RefSeq and is a predicted model, not a curated record.
GCCUUUUGGACCUAGACUUGGUGCUCCGGUACCGCUUGCCGUGCGGUAGCAGAGAGAACAGUCUAUGUUACACUUGCUAAUGUACUAGUCUGCUGCUGUGUAUCUGACUGUGUGUGUGCUAGCGUUCUGUGGAAGGGUGUGUUUACCUACUGUUGGGGGGCUUCCCUGGCGACAUCUGACUGCAGCAUGACUGACUCUGCACAUUGGAGGCACAGUGCUCCAUCGCUAGCUAGGCCUGUCGCUAGCUCCUACCUGGACAGCUUCAGCUUAGUGUCUGCACAGCCUGACACUAUCUUUUUCAACGUCCGCUCACCCAGAAUGGAAACAAGGACUCAAGCUGGUGUUAUGCUGCUCUCCUCUGGUUGUGAAGUGAACUUCAGCAUGGGUACGCCAUUUCUUGAGGAGCUCUUGGUCUCUAAGGGACAAAGAAGGGCAGGGGCCAUACAAAGCACAGUGAGGAUUCAAGUACCCCAUAAACAGUGAUCUAAGCCAGUCUUCUCUCCUCUGACCUCUUCCAGUACUGCAUGUCAAACGGAGGGAGCUCUGGAAAUAUAUUUCUGCUGGUAAUAUCUUUC